AAAAAGAAAUGCUUAGAGUGGACUAUU
Molecule: non-coding RNA, 27 nt
Filed under: Cricetulus griseus (Chinese hamster)
Lineage: Eukaryota; Metazoa; Chordata; Mammalia; Rodentia; Cricetidae
Source: RNAcentral